Molecule: long non-coding RNA, 1283 nt
Filed under: Vigna radiata
Lineage: Eukaryota; Viridiplantae; Streptophyta; Magnoliopsida; Fabales; Fabaceae
Description: long non-coding RNA (VRAD_LNC001505)
Source: RNAcentral
ACUUCCGUGCUAGGUUGCCUAGUAGUUCCACAUGUGGUGAAAGUGGUGUUCAACAUUCCUGGGUUCAACAUUGUGGUGAAAGUGGUGUUCCAAUCAGUGUUGUCAUUGUUGCCGCAGAACUAAACGCGCCACCACCAAACCCUCAGGCCACCAUGUCGCUGUCACCAUCAUCAACACAUACCUACAAUUCGAAGCAGAGAAAAACAACAGAAAACCCAGAAAUCAAACCCUAGCCACCAUGAAACCCUAAACCGUGUCGCCAGUAAUCAAGGCAAAAUCUCCACCAUGUGUUGCGCCUCACACCGUUGAGCAAGAACCGAAUCGAAAUCUCUAACUUGCAAACCAGAAAUUCUAACCCAAAUAUGAACAAGAAAUUCGCAAUCGCGACACCUAGAAACCCAAUUCACACCUGUAGCAAAUCAUAAACAUACAUAAUCACUACCCAAAUCGUUGAAACCCUAGUUCACAAGCAGUAUCCAUAGGCACCAACUUGCAAAUUGCACAAGCCAGAAACACAUAAGCAAUGUGAAGGUGAAGCUCAAUGUUUACGUUCAGGUGUUUAUAUGUAAUGUUAAAUUUAGUUUCCCCUUUGGUCAAAAAAUGUGCAAUGUGGUACCCUUUUGAAUUUAAAACUGUGUACUUUGGUCCCAAAUGGAUAUCAACGAAAAACACAUGAUAGAUAUCUGACUUAGUUUCCACCUCCAGUCCACCAUCUUUGUCCACCUCUACUCCACCCACCAUCCACCUCCUCUUCACCAUUAGUUUCCACCUCUAGUCCAUUAUCUCUGUCCACUUCCACUCCACCAUCCACUUCUUCUCCAUCAUCACUUUCCACCUCCACUCCACCCUCUAUUUCCACCUCAAACCCUAACCGCCAAAUCCAACAACAAGAACAUCAAGUAAGUAGGCUAGGGUUAGCAACACUUACCUCAUUUAAAUACGCUCUUCAAAUUUGACCUUCAAUGAAUCACCACGCCUUAUAUAAGACCAGUUUUACCACAUUGUUAAACCCAUAAAUUGCAAUGGGAUUCUUAGAUAACCAUAAUUUGAUUUAAACAACAAUUUUUUAUACCCCUAAAAUCAUCGUCAAUCGAAGAAAAUAUCUAUACAUAACACAAAAUCAAAUUAAACCCUAACCCCCAAAUCACUAACGUACGAUGUUCCACUUACACCUUCAAGGAAUCAGUAGCAGAAUCACCAACAAUAACCAGUUUCACAAGAACGAAAAACCCAGAAAUGACAUUUUUUACUUUAACCCAGUAGAAUCAGAUAAGGGUUUUUAA